Molecule: ribosomal RNA, 526 nt
Filed under: Actinopyga spinea
Lineage: Eukaryota; Metazoa; Echinodermata; Holothuroidea; Aspidochirotida; Holothuriidae
Description: partial 16S ribosomal RNA
Rfam family: Bacterial large subunit ribosomal RNA
Source: RNAcentral
AAAACAUAGCCCCCUGAAAAAAUAGGGGGUCUAGCCUGCCCAGUGGUCCAAGACUAAACGGCCGCGGUAUCUUGACCGUGCAAAGGUAGCAUAAUCACUUGUCUUUUAAAUGAAGACUUGUAUGAACGGAAUAACCUUUCUUAACUGUCUCCCUUGCUUUCCUUUGAAACUCGUAUUUAGGUGAAGAACCCUAAAUAACACAGAAAGACGAGAAGACCCUGUCGAGCUUCAGCUAAAAAAGGAAUUCUAAUGAAAGCUUAAUAUCCUACCAUAGCUUUGGUUGGGGCAACCACGGAGAACAAGAAUCCUCCGGGAAUUGUGGAAGAAAAAUCCUCUCUCCACCUCAUCAAGAAAAGAACCAGAACCUGGAAAACGGAAAAAGCUACCGCAGGGAUAACAGCGUUAUCUCCUCUAAGAGUCCAUAUUGACGAGGAGGCUUGCGACCUCGAUGUUGGAUUGGGGCACCCACAGGGUGCAGAAGCUCUGAAAGGUCGGACUGUUCGUCCGUUAAAGCCCUACGUGAUCU